GCCACACUGGAACUGAGACACGGUCCAGACUCCUACGGGAGGCAGCAGUAGGGAAUCUUCCGCAAUGGACGAAAGUCUGACGGAGCAACGCCGCGUGAGUGAUGAAGGUUUUCGGAUCGUAAAGCUCUGUUGUUAGGGAAGAACAAGUACCGUUCGAAUAGGGCGGUACCUUGACGGUGCCUAACCAGAAAGCCACGGCUAACUACGUGCCAGCAGCCGCGGUAAUACGUAGGUGGCAAGCGUUGUCCGGAAUUAUUGGGCGUAAAGGGCUCGCAGGCGGUUUCUUAAGUCUGAUGUGAAAGCCCCCGGCUCAACCGGGGAGGGUCAUUGGAAACUGGGGAACUUGAGUGCAGAAGAGGAGAGUGGAAUUCCACGUGUAGCGGUGAAAUGCGUAGAGAUGUGGAGGAACACCAGUGGCGAGGGCGACUCUCUGGUCUGUAACUGACGCUGAGGAGCGAAAGCGUGGGGAGCGAACAGGAUUAGAUACCCUGGUAGUCCACGCCGUAAACGAUGAGUGCUAAGUGUUAGGGGGUUUCCGCCCCUUAGUGCUGCAGCUAACGCAUUAAGCACUCCGCCUGGGGAGUACGGUCGCAAGACUGAAACUCAAAGGAAUUGACGGGGGCCCGCACAAGCGGUGGAGCAUAUGGUUUAAUUCGAAGCAACGCGAAGAACCUUACCAGGUCUUGACAUCCUCUGACAAUCCUAGAGAUAGGACGUCCCCUUCGGGGGCAGAGUGACAGGUGGUGCAUGGUUGUCGUCAGCUCGUGUCGUGAGAUGUUGGGUUAAGUCCCGCAACGAGCGCAACCCUUGAUCUUAGUUGCCAGCAUUCAGUUGGGCACUCUAAGGUGACUGCCGGUGACAAACCGGAGGAAGGUGGGGAUGACGUCAAAUCAUCAUGCCCCUUAUGACCUGGGCUACACACGUGCUACAAUGGACAGAACAAAGGGCAGCGAAACCGCGAGGUUAAGCCAAUCCCACAAAUCUGUUCUCAGUUCGGAUCGCAGUCUGCAACUCGACUGCGUGAAGCUGGAAUCGCUAGUAAUCGCGGAUCAGCAUGCCGCGGUGAAUACGUUCCCGGGCCUUGUACACACCGCCCGUCACACCACGAGAGUUUGUAACACCCGAAGUCGGUGAGGUAACCUUUUAGGAGCCAGCCGCCGAAGGUGGGACAGAUGAUUGGGGUGAAGUCGUAACAAGGUA
RNAcentral lists this ribosomal RNA (1200 nucleotides) under metagenome. RNAcentral's name for it is "bacterial SSU rRNA". It matches the Rfam family "Bacterial small subunit ribosomal RNA", at positions 307 to 1498 of the family's 1533-position model. The record is from RNAcentral.